AACGAACGCUGGCGGCAGGCUUAACACACGCAAGUCGAACGAGAUCUUCGGAUCUAGUGGCAGACGGGUGAGGAACACGUGGGAACAUCCCUUUCAGUUCGGAAUAACGUUGGGAAACUAACGCUAAUACCGGAUACGUCCUUCGGGGGAAAGAUUUAUCGCUGAAAGAUUGGCCCGCGUCUGAUUAGCUAGUUGGUGAGGUAAUGGCUCACCAAGGCUACGAUCAGUAGCUGAUCUGAGAGGAUGAUCAGGCACAUUGGGACUGAGACACGGCCCAAACUCCUACGGGAGGCAGCAGUGGGGAAUAUUGGACAAUGGGCGCAAGCCUGAUCCAGCCAUGCCGCGUGAGUGAUGACGGCCUUCGGGUUGUAAAGCUCUUUUGUCCGGGAAGAUAAUGACUGUACCGGAAGAAUAAGCCCCGGCAAACUUCGUGCCAGCCGCCGCCGUAA
RNAcentral lists this ribosomal RNA (449 nucleotides) under uncultured bacterium. RNAcentral describes it as "partial 16S ribosomal RNA". It matches the Rfam family "Bacterial small subunit ribosomal RNA", at positions 29 to 523 of the family's 1533-position model. The record is from RNAcentral.